AUCGGAACUACUGGGCGUAAAGCGUGCGCAGGCGGUUUUGUAAGACAGUGGUGAAAUCCCCGGGCUCAACCUGGGAACUGCCAUUGUGACUGCAAGGCUAGAGUGCGGCAGAGGGGGAUGGAAUUCCGCGUGUAGCAGUGAAAUGCGUAGAUAUGCGGAGGAACACCGAUGGCGAAGGCAAUCCCCUGGGCCUGCACUGACGCUCAUGCACGAAAGCGUGGGGAGCAAACAGGAUUAGAUACCCUGGUAGUCAAGGGCG
This 259-nucleotide ribosomal RNA is filed under the name uncultured Burkholderiales bacterium. Its description in RNAcentral is "partial 16S ribosomal RNA". It matches the Rfam family "Bacterial small subunit ribosomal RNA", at positions 544 to 802 of the family's 1533-position model. Lineage: Bacteria; Pseudomonadati; Pseudomonadota; Betaproteobacteria; Burkholderiales. The record is from RNAcentral.